This 222-nucleotide long non-coding RNA is filed under the name Manacus vitellinus (golden-collared manakin). RNAcentral describes it as "lncRNA (ENSMVIG00005018278.1)". Lineage: Eukaryota; Metazoa; Chordata; Aves; Passeriformes; Pipridae. The record is from RNAcentral.
AGCAUACCCAGCUCCAGGCAGCCAUGGACUGUAGAGUUGAGGACUGUAUUGUGUUUGUAGGAAAGGCUUGCAGCUGUGGCUCAUUGGCAGCUGGCAGAGCUCUCAUCAGUGAUUUGAGCACUGGAAUACCUUCCCUGCAUGUCCUUCUAUUGCAAAACCAGGUAAGUAACAUAUUAGUUGGCAAACUACACGUGAGCUCUUGCCCAUAGUGAAUUUGGAGCA